This 427-nucleotide ribosomal RNA is filed under the name uncultured Burkholderiales bacterium. RNAcentral describes it as "bacterial SSU rRNA". It matches the Rfam family "Bacterial small subunit ribosomal RNA", at positions 355 to 774 of the family's 1533-position model. Lineage: Bacteria; Pseudomonadati; Pseudomonadota; Betaproteobacteria; Burkholderiales. The record is from RNAcentral.
UGGGGAAUUUUGGACAAUGGGCGCAAGCCUGAUCCAGCAAUGCCGCGUGCAGGAAGAAGGCCUUCGGGUUGUAAACUGCUUUUGUACGGAACGAAAAGGCUCUGGUUAAUACCUGGGGCUCAUGACGGUACCGUAAGAAUAAGCACCGGCUAACUACGUGCCAGCAGCCGCGGUAAUACGUAGGGUGCGAGCGUUAAUCGGAAUUACUGGGCGUAAAGCGUGCGCAGGCGGUUUUGUAAGACAGUCGUGAAAUCCCCGGGCUCAACCUGGGAAUGGCGAUUGUGACUGCAAGGCUGGAGUGCGGCAGAGGGGGAUGGAAUUCCGCGUGUAGCAGUGAAAUGCGUAGAUAUGCGGAGGAACACCGAUGGCGAAGGCAAUCCCCUGGGCCUGCACUGACGCUCAUGCACGAAAGCGUGGGGAGCAAACA